Haliotis rubra (blacklip abalone) is the source of this 481-nucleotide long non-coding RNA. RefSeq lists it as uncharacterized. Lineage: Eukaryota; Metazoa; Mollusca; Gastropoda; Lepetellida; Haliotidae. The transcript has 3 exons. The record is from RefSeq and is a predicted model, not a curated record.
CCUAAGCCACACAAAGGUACAAAGACGUGAAGUCACAGAGCAAGACAACCCGCUCUUUCAGUCAGUCAAAGCCAACUACAAGCAUGAACCACUGGGGACCCUAUCCUCGCCCUAAAUCCCCAGGGAUUAAACCCAAGCAGAUGACCAAUGAUUUGAGUGACAGAUGGCUGACAGAAGGGUAUUAACACUGGCCUGGGGUUGUCAAUAUCACCUUUAGUAUAAUGUGAACAUCUAUCAAGAGGGAACAAAACAACACAUCACAAAGAACAAUUAACGACUUGACUGUAAGGAUCGAUAGCCAUAAAGGUGCCUGACUCUGAAGGUGAGGGUUCGGAGCCCAAUUCUGGUGUCCCCCGACAUAAUAUUGUUGAAAUAUUGAAAAAGUGGCAUAAAACCUCACUCACUCUGAUAGAAAUGGUGGAACAUGAUGACUCUGAUGAUCAUAAAGUUGAGUUGUAGAGUCCCCAUAACAACAGUCAGA